Molecule: long non-coding RNA, 510 nt
Organism: Gopherus flavomarginatus (Mexican gopher tortoise)
Lineage: Eukaryota; Metazoa; Chordata; Testudines; Testudinidae
Exons: 3
Source: RefSeq, a predicted model, not a curated record
AACUGCAGUUUUUCAUGGAAAAAAACAAAGUUAACCAAAAAGUUAACCAAUGAUAACCUCAACAUCUUCUCAGCUGUUUGGGAAGAGACCUUCUAAGCCAAAUUUUAGACAGACUGAAUAUACAAGACAAACUACAUUUGCAGUGACUGCCCCAAUGACCUUACAACCCAAAGCUGUACUAUGUAAAUCAUUACAUUUCUGUAUGAAAAGGCAUUCAAAUCUUCUGGAAUACAUACACUGUGAUGUCAAAUUUAUUAUUUGUACCCCCCCCCCCACCAACGAGGGAAUGGACUGAUGAAGAGAGCAGUGUGGGUUGCUAAGAGAAUUUGACAACAAAAAGACCCUGAGCUAUAUGGCAACCCAACCCAUCAUCAGUCACCAGAGUAAUUACAGUGCAGCUGCUUAUGGGUCAACAUGUCAGAAACUUGCUACCAGCCUUGGAGGUACAAAUAAGUCUUUGUCCUAUGUGGCCUUUCUUAAAGGAUGAGAAGUUAAGAGAUCUCAAGCCUA